GCGCAAGUGGUUUAGUGGUAAAAUCCAACGUUGCCAUCGUUGGGCCCCCGGUUCGAUUCCGGGCUUGCAUA
Molecule: transfer RNA, 71 nt
Filed under: Saccharomyces cerevisiae (brewer's yeast)
Lineage: Eukaryota; Fungi; Ascomycota; Saccharomycetes; Saccharomycetales; Saccharomycetaceae
Rfam family: tRNA
About the family: Transfer RNA (tRNA) molecules are approximately 80 nucleotides in length.
Source: RNAcentral